CAGCCGCCGCGGGAAUACGGAGGGCGCGAGCGUUACCCGGAUUUACUGGGCGUAAAGGGCGUGUAGGCGGCCUGGGGCGUCCCAUGUGAAAGGCCACGGCUCAACCGUGGAGGAGCGUGGGAUACGCUCAGGCUAGAGGGUGGGAGAGGGUGGUGGAAUUCCCGGAGUAGCGGUGAAAUGCGCAGAUACCGGGAGGAACGCCGAUGGCGAAGGCAGCCACCUGGUCCACUUCUGACGCUGAGGCGCGAAAGCGUGGGGAGCAAACCGGAUUAGAUACCCGUGUAGUCCCUGUCUCUUAUAC
This 301-nucleotide ribosomal RNA is filed under the name uncultured bacterium. Its description in RNAcentral is "partial 16S ribosomal RNA". It matches the Rfam family "Bacterial small subunit ribosomal RNA", at positions 509 to 807 of the family's 1533-position model. The record is from RNAcentral.